This 342-nucleotide ribosomal RNA is filed under the name Klebsiella sp. HPC157. RNAcentral's name for it is "bacterial SSU rRNA". It matches the Rfam family "Bacterial small subunit ribosomal RNA", at positions 30 to 368 of the family's 1533-position model. Lineage: Bacteria; Pseudomonadati; Pseudomonadota; Gammaproteobacteria; Enterobacterales; Enterobacteriaceae. The record is from RNAcentral.
AUUGAACGUUGGCGGCAGGUUUAACACAUGCAAGUCGAGCGGUAACACAGAGAGCUUGCUCUCGGGUGACGAGCGGCGGACGGGUGANUAAUGUCUGGCAAACUGCCUGAUGGAGGGGGAUAACUACUGGAAACGGUAGCUAAUACCGCAUAACGUCGCAAGACCAAAGUGGGGGACCUUCCGGCCUCAUGCCAUCAAAUGUGCCCAGAUGGGAUUAGCUAGUAGGUGGGGUAAUGGCUCACCUAAGCAACUAUCCCUAGCUGGACUGAAAGGAUGACCACCCACACUGGAACUGAGACACGGUCCACACACCUACGGGAGGCAGCAGUGGGAAAUAUUGCA